Molecule: ribosomal RNA, 253 nt
Filed under: uncultured bacterium
Lineage: Bacteria
Description: partial 16S ribosomal RNA
Rfam family: Bacterial small subunit ribosomal RNA
Source: RNAcentral
UACAGAGGGGGCAAGCGUUGUUCGGAAUUACUGGGCGUAAAGGGCGCGUAGGCGGCCUUCUAAGUCGAACGUGAAAUCCCUGGGCUCAACCCAGGAACUGCGUCCGAUACUGGAAGGCUUGAAUCCGGGAGAGGGAUGCGGAAUUCCAGGUGUAGAGGUGAAAUUCGUAGAUAUUCGGAAGAACACCAGUGGCGAAGGCGACUUACUGGACGAUUGUUGACGCUGAGGUGCGAAAGCGUGGGGAGCAAACAGG